Molecule: long non-coding RNA, 804 nt
Filed under: Pan troglodytes (chimpanzee)
Lineage: Eukaryota; Metazoa; Chordata; Mammalia; Primates; Hominidae
Description: long non-coding RNA NONPTRT005008
Source: RNAcentral
CCAGGAUUGGCGGGAGCGGUCCAAGGGAGUCAGCCGGGGAGGGCGAAAAGGGGAUGGAAACCCUAUUUUCUUUUCUCCAAGACCAUGGUUGGUCUGCUUCCCUCACUCGGGCUCCUUGACAGUCUUCUAGAAGAGAGGAGGAGGAAAAGAAGCAGUUCCUGAUGUUACAAAUGAACAAGGAUCUCCCAGCCUUAGUCUUUGAGAAAAGAUGGCUGAAAGAGAGGAACUCUCCAAGUCAUUCCGCAAACAAAUGCCCAUUUAAACAUCAUCCUUGUCUUGUGAAGAAAACAGGAAGAAUGUCAUGCACCGUGUGGAUCACCUUCAGUUCAAAGUUGCAGCAAAGUGAAGAAACUACUGGAAGCCACCCAGCAAUGCACUGUUUAGUCAUCAAUUAGGAGCCCAUGGGAGGAUAAUAGGGAGACUGGGUGGAGGCUCAGUGUGUAAUAAUCUCUUGUCUAAUGUAUGUGUGUCACUGCCAUGUUGUAUGAACAAUAGUGAGGGCUCACAUUUACUUAACACUUGUGUACUCAAAUCUGGGUUUUUCUUUCUUUCCAGAACUAUGACUCAAUCAUAAAAUCUGUUUUGUUUGCAUGCAUGCCCAAAACAACCCUAUAGGUAGAACAUUAUCAUUAUCUCUGUUUUAGAGAUGAGGAAACAGGCUCAGAGAAGCUCAGAAAUUUGUUCAAGAUCGCACAGCUAGUAAAUGGCAGAAGUAGGAUUGUGAACCCAGGGAAUCUCCAGAGCCUCUGUGUAACCAUGAUAUUAUAUUUUUUUCCUCUUUAAAAACAAAAUUAAAAACCUUGC